RNAcentral lists this unclassified non-coding RNA (236 nucleotides) under Hevea brasiliensis (rubber tree). The record is from RNAcentral. Lineage: Eukaryota; Viridiplantae; Streptophyta; Magnoliopsida; Malpighiales; Euphorbiaceae.
CAAUUUCUUGAUGAAAAAUGCAGAUUUGAGCUUACUUUUUCAGUUUGGACUAAAAAUAUCAAGUGCAAUGCGGAGUGUAGUAGCAAGUUCACUAAUCAGUACAGAUCUUGAAAACAAAAAGAGUAAAGCUAAAAUGGUGGGGUUUUGAUAGAAACAAUUGGUAUGAUUACACUUCUUACAUAUGGAAAAUCCAUAAUAAUGAAAUUUCAAGCACGAAGUGAGAAAAAGAGAAAGAG